CUUAUACCUUCAGAGUGAGUUUGAGGUGCCUGAGCUGCAACAUAUUCCCUGUUUGGUUUGUUUUUUCUCCAGAUCAUCACAUUGCCAGCAAAGACUUAAAAAUGGUCCAGAAAUCCGCAGUGAACAUCCACACAAUGACUUCAGGGGAGACAUUUGGCGCUGAUGAAGAACUGCUGAGGGAACUGAAGAAGAGGAUGCAGCUGAAUAUUAUACACUACCCGGAAAGCUGCAUCAUCAUUGUUUUUUGCCCUAUCAUCUCUCGUGUUGGGUCAGAUGUAGAAACAGCUAUGAGUCGGGUGACAGCACAAAAUCAAAAAGUUAUUCUGGUUAUGAUGCACCACACCCGAGACGAAAGCUACUCCACAGCUGGGAUAAUGUGGUCUGAAGUGUUUCCCAAUGUGAUCUUGGAUGUUCAUGUUCUCUUUCAUGAGACAAUGCAAGGAUUACUGAAGUGUGAUAACAACACGAGGGCUAUUGAUGAAAUGGUUCAAACAUUACUGUCCCAGAAUCGACAACUUGGAUACCCAGAUGUAGAAAGUCAGACACAGGCGUUACUUAGACACCCUACUGAACGUGUUUCAAAAUGUUUUCCUUAUUGGAAGAUUGUUAUUGGAUUUAUCGUGGUCGUGUUGAUUAUUUUACUGCUUGUCAUUUUUUUGGUGCCAGUUCACACAUAAUAAGCAAACAAAGAAAAACACAGAGGCUGAAAGGCAAAGAAGAAGCUACUAAAAUAAACCAUGCAUACAACCAUUCUGUGUUGAUUAAUUUGAAUUUGUAAAAUGCCUUGAGAUGACAUGCUGUAAAUUAAUGCUAAAAAAAAUAAACUGAUUUGAUA
Molecule: long non-coding RNA, 835 nt
Organism: Cyprinodon tularosa
Lineage: Eukaryota; Metazoa; Chordata; Actinopteri; Cyprinodontiformes; Cyprinodontidae
Exons: 4
Source: RefSeq, a predicted model, not a curated record